CGCCAGACAAAUGUACACACAAAUCGUCACCAACGGCACUAUCAGUGGCGCCUUUAUCAACUCCCACACCAUCCCAAUUUGCCCUCCAAUAUCUGCGAGAUCUUUAAGAAGGGACUGUUACUUCACUCACUCACUCGGCCAGCUAGUUUGUUGUGUGGCCUGAAAAUAGACGAGAGAGAAACAAGCAUGGCGGCAUUGCGGCAGUGUAGCCUGUAGAGAGAGAAGAGUGGAGCAAGUUAUGAGAGUCGGUGCCACUGAAAAAUUAAGAUUAUUUUAAGUAGUCAAUAUUUGGACUAUUGUUGCUAGUAAUAAAUUUUGGCUUUUUUUAUUACUCCA
Molecule: non-coding RNA, 336 nt
Organism: Salvia hispanica
Lineage: Eukaryota; Viridiplantae; Streptophyta; Magnoliopsida; Lamiales; Lamiaceae
Source: RefSeq, a predicted model, not a curated record